RNAcentral lists this unclassified non-coding RNA (1649 nucleotides) under Leishmania donovani. RNAcentral's name for it is "gene:LdHU3.36.9230(CDS-product:Mitochondrial_carr ier_protein_putative)". Lineage: Eukaryota; Euglenozoa; Kinetoplastea; Trypanosomatida; Trypanosomatidae. The record is from RNAcentral.
AUGAGUUCUUCAAACGAGGAUGCGUCAGAUUCCGCCCUGCAGCCCUCGCCGAGGGAUAUCCUGCUUGAGAUGAGCACAGUCCCUCGCCUGCACAACACGCUUGAGUUGCCACCGCCGCCCAUCACCUCUGCGGUGACGCGCUCCUGGUCGGAUGUCGACCCACUGCGGCUGAUGAUGACGUUUGGUGUCACCUCCUUCUCCUAUAGCUUCCUCGGGCAGCCGAUCUUCCUUGUCAUUGCUCGGCAGCAGUGCUGUACAACCCGUGUGUCGGCGGCCAAGGUGCUGCAGGAGGUGCGGCAGUCUCACGGCUUCAGAGGGCUCUACCGCGGUGCAGGAGCCGCCAUUUCAGGCACCGUGCUAAGUGAGCUUGUGUACUACUUUCUCGUCGAGUACUGGAAGGAGAAGCUGCCGUUGCAGGAGCGGGAGUGGCGCAGCUUCGGCGCAGGCCUACUGGCCGAUCUGGGAUCGACCCCCGUCUUCAACCCCUUCGCGGUGGUCUCGCAGGUGCAGAUGGUGGCUGGCAGCUCCUACUCUAGUGAGCACAACUACAUGUCCGCCGCUCGCACCACCGUGACGCUGGUGCGCGAGCAAGGGAUCAGCUGCCUGUUUCGCGGGACGCUGCUGACGUUGGUGGUGGCCCCCCUCACUGGGGCGUGGUGGUUUGUGUACGAGUACUUUAAGCGCCUCGUCUACGGCGCAGCCCCGGCGAUUGGCGCGCGGCUUUCUGCCGUGGUGCCCCAGUCUGUACAGCUCUGUUUGCCGCCCUGCUGCACCUCUGCGACUGACAACGUACUCGUGAACGCUGGAGUUGGCGCCGCGGCGAGUAUGGUCAUCGGUCUUAUCAUGAACCCCUUCUACGUGCUGCGGUUGCGCUUGCAGGUGGGUAAGCGCAUCGAAGGGGUGCGCUUCCCGUUGCUGCACAUUGUAAGAGAUGUCCUCAAGAACGAGGGAGUGCGUGCGCUGUGGAAGGGGCUGGGCGGAAAUCUGCUGGUUGGCGUCGUCGGCGGAUGCUCGUUUGGCUUCACCUACGAGGGCGCAAAGCAAUUCUCUGACAUCACCCAGGGAGCCGGCAGUGAGGCCGCCGCUGCUGUCCAGAGGCGAAUCCCGUGAGCUGCAGAUGCACGCCCUCCCACCCACAUAGUGGUAUGCCUGCAGCGGCUGGCGAGCGUCAGCCCCCACGACAGCGGCAGCCCAGCAGGAUACGCGUCGAGUGAUAACGGCAUUGGCGAGAUUCCAGCUCGCGAGAACGCGCUUGACUAUUCGCAGCGGCAGCGCAGGGGUGGAGUUGGUGGCGUAUGUGCAUGUGCGUGGCUCUUGUUCGCUUCGCGGGUAUCCAGCGAACUAAUGAAUGAAUCUCGGCUUCACUGCUGGCGGUGCGAGAAACGCAGGCAUCACACAGACAGACACCCAUGACAAAAAGGUGUGCACAGACGCAGCAGCUCUGCGACGCAGAGGCCAUUCGCUAUUGCGUCGAGGCGAGAGUUAGCGAGAGCGAGCGUGACACACCGACAGACAAACAGAGGGUUGGGGUGUGAGAUGCGCAUGGAUUGCGUGGGUGCCCGCAUGCUCCUGCUUUGUCUGUCACUCGCUCCGCCCUUCUCAUUCUGAGGGAGAAAGAAGAAGACGCCAAACGGCAUAAUGGAAAGAGC